Onychostoma macrolepis is the source of this 710-nucleotide long non-coding RNA. RefSeq lists it as uncharacterized. NCBI's taxonomy places the organism in Eukaryota, Metazoa, Chordata, Actinopteri, Cypriniformes, Cyprinidae. The record is from RefSeq and is a predicted model, not a curated record. The transcript has 4 exons.
GAAACGCACAAAUACAAGAAAACCAAACGGUAUGUCCCUUUGCACACACCGUAUGCAAAUGCAGCAGCGCCAAAGACAGACGAACGUUGUCGUUGAGAGGGGAUGACGACAUUGGCGACUUAAUUUGUGAGAUGAGCUGAGCUGUGAAAGUCAGACGAACCAGAUCGAAUGUUUUGGGAACUUUGUAAGGUGUUUUUGUUCAGUCAACAAAUUGUUCAGUGAAACGCACAAACACGCACAAAAAAAAAACAGGAUGUCCCUUUGCACACACCGUAUGUAAAUGCAGCAGCGCCAAAGACAGAAGAACGUUGAGGAGCUGACGACAGUGGCGACUUUGUGAGGACAAUGACUUGGAGAAAGCUGAGAGAGACAUGGCUAAUACAGUCAUUGGAAUUUUCAUUGUCCGAGCUGAAGGUGCAGGACCUGAACAACCACCAUUGGAUGUUGGGAUCAUUGUUGAAGGAGUGAAAGUGCUUCAGCAUCUACGAGAUGUCACCAAGGCUUGUGCUCUCCUCUUGGGAGUAAUAUAUACCUUGAAUCUUAGCUAUCCAUGUGAUCUCAAGUACACCUUUGAGUUUCUUCAAAAGGUGUUACUGGAACUUGAUGCAAGCAAACUUUCACACAAAAUGCAGGUACUUAAAAAUAAACUUAUUGAAUAAUUAACUGAUGUUUAGUUUAAUUCCAGUACAAUACUGCUGUUUGAAAAACAA